Molecule: long non-coding RNA, 724 nt
Filed under: Phascolarctos cinereus (koala)
Lineage: Eukaryota; Metazoa; Chordata; Mammalia; Diprotodontia; Phascolarctidae
Description: lncRNA (ENSPCIG00000002635.2)
Source: RNAcentral
CAGUAGUCUGUUUAUAUGUCAACUAUGAAGUUUGUCUUUUUGUAAGGAUUCAAGAUUUAGAAUAAAAUAUACUGCUUUGAUUCUUGUUUAUUGUGUACAAUCUGCAUGCCCAUUACGGUUUUAAUGUUCCUGCCCUAAAUCGGAAGACCCAAUUCAGAUGUACGUCUUAUCAUCUUGAGAGAUUCAGCACAGGUAUUUUCUACUGUUGAAACUGCGUGUGGCCGCAAGCUUACUAUGUGUGUAUAUACUUUGAUGUAUAUGCUUAAAAAAUAAAGUUACUUGAAAACAUGUUUCAUAAUAAGUAUUAAGUUCCUAAAUCUUUUUCACCUAAACAUCUGUUACCAGCAGCAAAGUGGGCAAUAUCAGUGUUAUUGGUAAGAAGGCUGAAUGAUAUUUAUAACCUUUUAAGUUUAGUGUGAAAAGCUAUUAGGUUUAUCAUAGACUUUCUGAAUGUGCUUCUUCGGUGCCAGUUAUUGGAAGGCUUAGAGUUCUGACUUCCAAAGCAGUAGAAUUUUCAUCUGCUUUAUGCGAACAGGAUUGGUAAGCGGUUAUCCUUAUAAUUGACUGCUCUGAAAAUCCGGUCAAAAACUUCACAGAGUUCUUGGCUCCUGGUUGUGAUUGCCACACAUCCUGACUUCCACCCUAAUCCCACUUUCCACCAGCUUCUCUGCAUUCUAACACCAUAGCAAAAAAGACAAAAGAAAAAGAUCGUUUAAUAUUUAUG